Molecule: ribosomal RNA, 480 nt
Filed under: uncultured bacterium
Lineage: Bacteria
Description: partial 16S ribosomal RNA
Rfam family: Bacterial small subunit ribosomal RNA
Source: RNAcentral
GACGAACGCUGGCGGCGUGCUUAACACAUGCAAGUCGAGCGAUGAAACACCUUCGGGUGCGGAUUAGCGGCGAACGGGUGAGGAACACGUGAGGAAUCUGCCUUCCACUCUGGGAUAACUCCGGGAAACCGGGGCUAAUACCGGAUACUUUCAACUGGCGGCAUCGCCGGUUGAAGAAAGUUUUUCGGUGGAAGAUGACCUCGCGGCCUAUCAGCUUGUUGGUGAGGUAAAGGCUCACCAAGGCGACGACGGGUAGCCGGCCUGCGCGGGCGGCCGGGCACACUGGGACUGAGACACGGCCCAGACUCCUACGGGAGGCAGCAGUGGGGAAUAUUGGGAAAUGGAGGAAACUCUGACCCAGCGACGCCGCGUGAGGGAUGAAGGCCUUCGGGUUGUAAACCUCUUUCAGCAGGGAAUAAGCGAAAGUGAAGGUACCUGCAGAAGAAGCACCGGCUAACUAUGUGCCAGCCGCCGCCGUAA